RNAcentral lists this long non-coding RNA (393 nucleotides) under Ananas comosus (pineapple). RNAcentral describes it as "long non-coding RNA (ACOM_LNC016391)". The record is from RNAcentral. Lineage: Eukaryota; Viridiplantae; Streptophyta; Magnoliopsida; Poales; Bromeliaceae.
CUAUAAAAGAAAGGUAAAAAUGUAGAGAACUUAUUUGAACUAUGGAUCAUUUUGAACAUGCUAUCCAACCUUUUAAAAUUUUAAUUUUACUAUCCAAUCAUUUUAAUUUAUUUGAUUUACGCUAGUGAACAAUACUUUGAAUUCCAAAUGUCAGCUAAUUAUUUACUGUAAUUUACAGUAUACCAACUAAAUAUGUAAAGUGUUAAAAUCGGAACGGCGAAAAAUAGAUCCAGAAAAUAAUUUAAUGCAAGAAAAGAAAAGAUAAGGAAAGAACACACCGAUAUUUACGUGGUUCGGCCAACGGCCUACGUCCACGGGCGAAGACGGAGCAAAUACUUUAUUAAUGUCGAAAAGGCGGAGUACAAGAAUAUCACCCGAAAGAUCCGAAAACCA